Molecule: ribosomal RNA, 460 nt
Filed under: uncultured bacterium
Lineage: Bacteria
Description: partial 16S ribosomal RNA
Rfam family: Bacterial small subunit ribosomal RNA
Source: RNAcentral
CCUACGGGGGGCAGCAGUGAGGAAUAUUGGUCAAUGGGCGGAAGCCUGAACCAGCCAAGUAGCGUGCAGGAUGACGGCCCUACGGGUUGUAAACUGCUUUUAUACGGGAAUAACGCGCCUUACGUGUAGGGUUUUGCCUGUACCGUAUGAAUAAGGACCGGCUAAUUCCGUGCCAGCAGCCGCGGUAAUACGGAAGGUCCGGGCGUUAUCCGGAUUUAUUGGGUUUAAAGGGAGCGUAGGCCGCAUGUCAAGCGUGCUGUGAAAUGUCCGGGCUCAACCCGGGCCUUGCAGCGCGAACUGGCGUGCUUGAGUCCGCGGAAAGCAGGCGGAAUUCGUCGUGUAGCGGUGAAAUGCUUAGAUAUGACGAAGAACCCCGAUUGCGAAGGCAGCUUGCUGCAGCGGAACUGACGCUGAUGCUCGAAAGCGCGGGUAUCGAACAGGAUUAGAUACCCUUGUAGUC